CAUUAAUUUCCCUUUGCCAAAACCACAGCCGCCUAACCAUUGGGUGGAUUGUUCCAUCAAUCAAAUCUCAGGAAGUAGCUACCCACUUGAAUACGAGAGGAUGAAGUAAAUAAAACCAAAAUUAUCUAUUUGAAGGUGGAGCGGGAGUAAGACCACUAGAAAGCAGCAUGCUGCCAGACCACCACAGGACCCUAGAGGCCUCUCUGCAUGCUGUGACAAGGGCCUGGAUGGUGACAUAUGCUUAAAGCUGCCUGACUGAAUACAGGGGCCUUCAGCGGUACCUUCCCUUUGAUUACAGCAAGAGUCUCCUUAUGUCUCGUAGCCAUUUAACAUGUACUGUAUGUAACCACUCAAAUUUUUACAAACUUAUACGAAUACAAGAACAGACUUAUAUUCACUUGCCGCUGGCUGCGUUUACAGGCAGCCCAAUUCUGGUAUUUUUUCCACUAAUUGGUGUUUUGACCAAUCCCAGAUCUUUUCACAUUGGAUCUUUUUCAGCACUGAUCUGAUUGAUCAAAAGACCAAUUGGUGAAGAAGAAAAAAUGUCAGACUUGGGCUGCCUGUCUAAACACAGCCUAUUUGUCCUAUUCUUCAGGCUUGACUGCGAUAUAUAUUUUAGUUGGCACACCUGUGUGAUAUCUUUUAUACAUGAAUAAUAAUGUAUUCACCCUG
Long non-coding RNA from Salmo salar (Atlantic salmon), 672 nucleotides. RefSeq lists it as uncharacterized. The record is from RefSeq and is a predicted model, not a curated record. Lineage: Eukaryota; Metazoa; Chordata; Actinopteri; Salmoniformes; Salmonidae.